UGUGGUUGUAGCUCAGUGGUAGAGCCUUGCCUAGCAUGUGUGAGGCCCUGGGUUCAAUCCUCAGCACAUAA
RNAcentral lists this transfer RNA (71 nucleotides) under Marmota monax (woodchuck). RNAcentral describes it as "tRNA.Ala". The record is from RNAcentral. Lineage: Eukaryota; Metazoa; Chordata; Mammalia; Rodentia; Sciuridae.